Molecule: ribosomal RNA, 953 nt
Filed under: Lethal wilt oil palm phytoplasma
Lineage: Bacteria; Bacillati; Mycoplasmatota; Mollicutes; Acholeplasmatales; Acholeplasmataceae
Description: bacterial SSU rRNA
Rfam family: Bacterial small subunit ribosomal RNA
Source: RNAcentral
CUUACCAAGACGAUGAUGUGUAGCUGGACUGAGAGGUCGAACAGCCACAUUGGGACUGAGACACGGCCCAAACUCCUACGGGAGGCAGCAGUAAGGAAUUUUUGGCAAUGGAGGAAACUCUGACCGAGCGACGCCGCGUGAACAAUGAAGUACUUCGGUAUGUAAAGUUCUUUUAUUGAAAAAGAAAAAAUAGUGGAAAAACUAUCUUGACAUUAUUCAAUGAAUAAGCCCCGGCUAAUUAUGUGCCAGCAGCCGCGGUAAUACAUAAGGGGCGAGCGUUAUCCGGAAUUAUUGGGCGUAAAGGGUGCGUAGGCGGUUUGAUAAGUCUAUAGUUUAAAUGCAGUGCUUAACGCUGUAGCGCUAUAGAAACUGUCUGACUAGAGUUAGAUAGAGGCAAGCGGAAUUCCAUGUGUAGCGGUAAAAUGCGUAAAUAUAUGGAGGAACACCAGAGGCGUAGGCGGCUUGCUGGGUCUUAACUGACGCUGAGGCACGAAAGCGUGGGGAGCAAACAGGAUUAGAUACCCUGGUAGUCCACGCCGUAAACGAUGAGUACUAAGUGUCGGGUUUCGACUCGGUACUGAAGUUAACACAUUAAGUACUCCGCCUGAGUAGUACGUACGCAAGUAUGAAACUUAAAGGAAUUGACGGGACCCCGCACAAGCGGUGGAUCAUGUUGUUUAAUUCGAAGAUACACGAAAAACCUUACCAGGUCUUGACAUAAUUUUGCGACAUUAUAGAAAUAUAAUGAAGGUUAUCAGAAUUACAGGUGGUGCAUGGUUGUCGUCAGCUCGUGUCGUGAGAUGUUAGGUUAAGUCCUAAAACGAGCGCAACCCUUGUCGUUAGUUGCGACCACGUAAUGGUGAGCACUUUAGCGAGACUGCCAAUGAAAAAUUGGAGGAAGGUGAGGAUUACGUCAAAUCCUCAUGCCCCUUAUGAUCUGGGCUACAAACGUG